This 492-nucleotide ribosomal RNA is filed under the name uncultured bacterium. RNAcentral's name for it is "partial 16S ribosomal RNA". It matches the Rfam family "Bacterial small subunit ribosomal RNA", at positions 29 to 507 of the family's 1533-position model. The record is from RNAcentral.
AGUGAACGCUGGCGGUAGGCCUAACACAUGCAAGUCGAACGGCAGCACAGUAAGAGCUUGCUCUUACGGGUGGCGAGUGGCGGACGGGUGAGGAAUACAUCGGAAUCUACUUUUUCGUGGGGGAUAACGUAGGGAAACUUACGCUAAUACCGCAUACGACCUACGGGUGAAAGCAGGGGAUCUUCGGACCUUGCGCGAUUGAAUGAGCCGAUGUCGGAUUAGCUAGUUGGCGGGGUAAAGGCCCACCAAGGCGACGAUCCGUAGCUGGUCUGAGAGGAUGAUCAGCCACACUGGAACUGAGACACGGUCCAGACUCUUACGGGAGGCAGCAGUGGGGAAUAUUGGACAAUGGGCGCAAGCCUGAUCCAGCCAUACCGCGUGGGUGAAGAAGGCCUUCGGGUUGUAAAGCCCUUUUGCUGGGAAAGAAAAGCAGCAGGUUAAUACCCCGCUGUUCUGACGGUACCCAAAGAAUAAGCACCGGCUAACUUCGUG